This 1945-nucleotide ribosomal RNA is filed under the name Hevea brasiliensis (rubber tree). RNAcentral describes it as "SSU rRNA". It matches the Rfam family "Eukaryotic small subunit ribosomal RNA". The record is from RNAcentral. Lineage: Eukaryota; Viridiplantae; Streptophyta; Magnoliopsida; Malpighiales; Euphorbiaceae.
UUCAUAUGCCUUGGUCUAAAACAAGAUUUAAGCCAUGCAUGUGUAGUAUGAACUAAUUCAGACUGUGAAACUGCGAAAUGGCUCUAAUAUCAGUUAUAGGGUUUGUUUUGAUCGUAUCUCUACUCGGAUACACCGUAGUAAUUCUAGAUCUAAUACGUUGCAACAAAACCCCGACUUCUGGAAGGAUGCAUUUAGAUAAAAGCGUCGGAACAGCGGGCUCGCCCGUUGCUCUGAUGCAUUUUCAUUGAUAAACUCGACGGAUCGCCACGCCAUCGUGCCUUCCGCGCGACGCAUCGACUUUCAAAUUUACUGCUCCUAUUCAACUUGCGGAUGGUAGGAAUACGAGGACCUACAUCGUGGCUGGGAUGACGGGUGACAGGAGAAUUAGGGUUCGAUUUCCGGAGAGGGGAAGCCUGAGAAACGGCUACCACAUCCAAGGAAGAGCAGCAGUGGCGGCAAAUUACCCAAUCCUGACACUGGGGGAGGUAGUGACAAUAAAUAACCAAUACGGUGCCUUCUUCGAGAUUCUGUUUAAUUUUUGGAAUGAGUACAAUCUAAAUCCCUUAACGAGGAUCCAUUGGAGGGGCAAGUCUGGGGUGCCAGGCGAGCCGCCGUAAUUUCCAGCUCGAAUAUGUAUAUUUAAGUUGUUGCAGUUUAAAAAGCUCGUCAGUUGGACCUUGGGUUGGGUCGAGCCGGGUCCGUCCUCGCGGCGUGUUUGCCACCUGUCGGCUCGUUCCCUUCUGCCGGCGGAUGCCCGACUCCUUGGCCCCCUUAACCUAGGCCGGUUCGUGCCUUCCGCCGCAGCUGUACUUGGAAAGAAAAUUAGAAGUGCUCAAAGCAAGCCUACGCUCUGGAUACCUUUAGCAUGGUGAUAUACAUCAUAGGAUUCGGUCCUAUUCGUGUUGGGCCUCUCGGGAUCGUAAUGGAUUAACAGGGACAGUCGGGGGCAUUCGUAUUCAUAGUCAGCAGGCUGGAAUUCUUGGAUUUAUGAAAGACGAAUCAACUGCGAAAGCAUCCAAGGAUGUUUUCAAUUAACUCAAGAACGUGAAGUGCGGCUCGGAAGACGAUCAGAAUACCGUCCUAGGUCUUCAAACCAAUAAACGAUGGCCGGACCAGGAUUCGCGCGGAUGUUUGCUUUUUAGGCGACUCCGCCGCGCACCUUAUGAGAAAUCAAAGUCUUUGGGUUCGGGGGGAGUAUGGUUCGCAAGGCUGAAAACUUAAAGAAUUGACGCGAAGGGCACCACCAGGAGUGGAGCCUGCGGCUUAAUUUGACUCAACACGGAGAACGCGUGCUUUACCCGGUCCAGACAUAGUAAGGAUUGACAGACUCGAACGAGCUCUUUUCUUGAUUCUAUGGUGGUGAUAAGUGCAGCGUUCUAGUUGCUGAGCGAUUUGUCUGGUUAAUUCCUCGUUUAUACGAACGAGACCUCAGCCUUGCUAAACUUAGCUAUGCGGAGGUGACACUCGCGCUCCUUUAGAGGGCUAUGGCGCUUUUAGGCCAAGGAAGUGUCUUGAACGCCAAUAACAGGUCUGUGAUGGCCCUUAAAGAUGAUCUCCUGGGCCGCAACGCUGCGCUACACUGCAAUGUUAUUCAUACGAGUCUUAUAGCCCCUUGGCCGAACAGUGCCCGUGGUAAUCUUUGAAAUUUCAUCGUGAUGGGGAUAGACUCAUGUGCAAUUGUUGGUCUAAUUCAACGAGGAAUUCCUAGUCAAGCGCGAGUCAUCAGCCUCGCGUUGACUUAGUCCCUGCCUCUUUGUACACACCGGCCGCGUUCGCUGCCUACCGAUUGACAAUGGUUCGAAGUUGAUAGGUUCGGAUCGCUGAGGCGACGUGGGCCAGGGUUUCGCCAGCCGGCGGACGUCGCAGAGAAGUCCAUCUGAACCUCGUCACUCAUUUAGAGGAAGGAGAAGUCGUAACAAGGUUCCCGUAGGUGAUAAGCCUUGCG